UACGUAGGUGGCAAGCGUUGUCCGGAAUUAUUGGGCGUAAAGCGCGCGCAGGCGGUCCUUUAAGUCUGAUGUGAAAGCCCACGGCUCAACCGUGGAGGGUCAUUGGAAACUGGGGGACUUGAGUACAGAAGAGAAGAGUGGAAUUCCACGUGUAGCGGUGAAAUGCGUAGAGAUGUGGAGGAACACCAGUGGCGAAGGCGACUCUUUGGUCUGUAGCUGACGCUGAGGCGCGAAAGCGUGGGGAGCAAACAGG
This 253-nucleotide ribosomal RNA is filed under the name uncultured bacterium. Its description in RNAcentral is "partial 16S ribosomal RNA". It matches the Rfam family "Bacterial small subunit ribosomal RNA", at positions 524 to 776 of the family's 1533-position model. The record is from RNAcentral.